Molecule: ribosomal RNA, 905 nt
Filed under: Limosilactobacillus ingluviei
Lineage: Bacteria; Bacillati; Bacillota; Bacilli; Lactobacillales; Lactobacillaceae
Description: bacterial SSU rRNA
Rfam family: Bacterial small subunit ribosomal RNA
Source: RNAcentral
CGCGUUGGCCCAACUGAUUGAUUGUGCUUGCACAGGAUUGACGUUGGUUUCCCAACGAGUGGCGGACGGGUGAGUAACACGUAGGCAACCUGCCCCGAAGCGGGGGACAACAUUUGGAAACAAGUGCUAAUACCGCAUAACAACUUUGACCGCCUGGUCAAAGCUUAAAAGAUGGUUUCGGCUAUCACUUCGGGAUGGGCCUGCGGCGCAUUAACUUGUUGGUGGGGUAACGGCCUACCAAGGCGAUGAUGCGUAGCCGAGUUGAGAGACUGAUCGGCCACAAUGGGACUGAGACACGGCCCAUACUCCUACGGGAGGCAGCAGUAGGGAAUCUUCCACAAUGGGCGCAAGCCUGAUGGAGCAACACCGCGUGAGUGAAGAAGGGUUUCGGCUCGUAAAGCUCUGUUGUUGAAGAAGAAUGUGCAAGAGAGUAACUGUUCUUGUAUUGACGGUAUUCAACCAGAAAGUCACGGCUAACUACGUGCCAGCAGCCGCGGUAAUACGUAGGUGGCAAGCGUUAUCCGGAUUUAUUGGGCGUAAAGCGAGCGCAGGCGGUUUUCUAAGUCUGAUGUGAAAGCCUUCGGCUUAACCGAAGAAGUGCAUCGGAAACUGGAUGACUUGAGUGCAGAAGAGGGCAGUGGAACUCCAUGUGUAGCGGUGGAAUGCGUAGAUAUAUGGAAGAACACCAGUGGCGAAGGCGGCUGCCUGGUCUGUAACUGACGCUGAGGCUCGAAAGCAUGGGUAGCGAACAGGAUUAGAUACCCUGGUAGUCCAUGCCGUAAACGAUGAGUGCUACGUGUUGGAGGGUUUCCGCCCUUCAGUGCCGGAGCUAACGCAUUAAGCACUCCGCCUGGGGAGUACGACCGCAAGGUUGAAACUCAAAGGAAUUGACGGGGGCCCGCACA